CUCCUGGCUAGUACAGUGGUAACACGCUGGCCUCGCAUUCCCGAGGUCGAGAGAUCGCGCCUCGUCCAGGCAAGA
Halocaridina rubra (Hawaiian volcano shrimp) is the source of this 75-nucleotide non-coding RNA. The record is from the annotation of a GenBank genome assembly. NCBI's taxonomy places the organism in Eukaryota, Metazoa, Arthropoda, Malacostraca, Decapoda, Atyidae.